Molecule: non-coding RNA, 211 nt
Filed under: Candidatus Gemmiger avicola
Lineage: Bacteria; Bacillati; Bacillota; Clostridia; Eubacteriales; Oscillospiraceae
Description: 6S RNA
Rfam family: 6S / SsrS RNA
About the family: E. coli 6S RNA was the first non coding RNA to be sequenced, but its function was unknown until recently.
Source: RNAcentral
CACACCCUGCGCGGUUCGAUUUGUUGCGGCUUUAUAUGAUCCUACUAAUCAAAUUUAGGGAGCCCGGCCGUCUUCUGCCGGAACGCAGACCUCCCGCCCCCGCCCAUCUGGCGCGGGAAGCGGAGGAAGGGAGCGCGAACGCAGAAGCAGGGCACCCACCUGCUCAAGCCAGUAGGUUUUGAUUGGUCGCAGACGGCUGUGCGGGGUAUCU